This 329-nucleotide ribosomal RNA is filed under the name uncultured Rikenellaceae bacterium. RNAcentral describes it as "bacterial SSU rRNA". It matches the Rfam family "Bacterial small subunit ribosomal RNA", at positions 355 to 680 of the family's 1533-position model. Lineage: Bacteria; Pseudomonadati; Bacteroidota; Bacteroidia; Bacteroidales; Rikenellaceae. The record is from RNAcentral.
UGAGGAAUAUUGGGUCAAUGGACGAAAGUCUGAACCAGCCAUGCCGCGUGAAGGAAUAAGGCCCUAUGGGUCGUAAACUUCUUUUGUAUGUGAGCAAUAAGGUCCACGUGUGGACCGAUGGGAGUAGCAUACGAAUAAGCAUCGGCUAACUCCGUGCCAGCAGCCGCGGUAAUACGGAGGAUGCAAGCGUUAUCCGGAUUCAUUGGGUUUAAAGGGUGCGUAGGCGGCUUGGUAAGUCAGCGGUGAAAUUCCAGUGCUCAACAUUGGCCGUGCCGUUGAUACUGCUGGGCUUGAAUGCGGAUGCCGUGGGAGGAAUGUGUGGUGUAGCG